Long non-coding RNA from Hippopotamus amphibius kiboko, 648 nucleotides. RefSeq lists it as uncharacterized. The record is from RefSeq and is a predicted model, not a curated record. The transcript has 4 exons. NCBI's taxonomy places the organism in Eukaryota, Metazoa, Chordata, Mammalia, Artiodactyla, Hippopotamidae.
AAUGGUUGAUGACAUAAUGCCAAAUAAAAGGAAAUUUCCAGAAAGAAACAUACAUAGGAGAUGGAUUCAAUAGGAAAGAUACUAAAGGUUUUUUUUUUUUGGAACCUUUUUGUCCUGCCCUUGAAACCAUCCCUGACCCUCCGACACAGGAUUAUAAGCCUCUUCUGUGUGCUCCUGUGGCAUCUAGAAUCUACGCCUGUGAUGUUGUGUUUAAUGCACAUUUAAACAUAUUCAGAAGAAUGGGUGGUUCAAAAGGAUGCCUCUGUAUUCCCCUAACAUGAACCACAGAGAGGUUAAGUUACCUGCUCCUAGUAACACAGCUAGUAAAUAGCAAAUGAAACCGAAUAGAUGAAUAACGUAUAUGUCUUCUGCCAAUUAAAAAAAAGUCCUGUGAUUUGUACAGCUGUGACUGAGAGAAGCCAAAUGAUACUUGAAGGCAAAGGAAGAUGGAAAAUGAAAGAAUAAAUGAGUGGAAAAUUCCACAACUCAGAAUCCCAAUGCUCUCUCAAGGACAAGAUUGUUACUUGAGAAGGUUCUGUUGAAUUUUUGGCAUUCUUGCAUUAUCUCACUUUGAAGAUGGAAUGUAAACCGUGGUUUUCAGCAAGUAUCAUUGUUCUCUGAAAUAGACUCAGUUAGAUUUGCUGGGAC